RNAcentral lists this ribosomal RNA (257 nucleotides) under uncultured prokaryote. RNAcentral's name for it is "partial 16S ribosomal RNA". It matches the Rfam family "Bacterial small subunit ribosomal RNA", at positions 521 to 777 of the family's 1533-position model. The record is from RNAcentral.
UAAUACAGAGGGUGCGAGCGUUGUUCGGAAUUACUGGGCGUAAAGCGCGCGCAGGCGGCUCUUUAAGUCUGACGGUCAAAGGCCGGGGCUCAACCCCGUGCUCGCCGGAGAUACUGGAGAGCUGGAGACAGGUAGAGGCAGGCGGAAUUCCGGGUGUAGCGGUGGAAUGCGUAGAGAUCCGGAAGAACACCAGAGGCGAAGCGGCCUGCUGGGCCUUGUCUGACGCUGAGGCGCGAAAGCGUGGGGAGCGAACAGGA